AUACGGAGGGUGCAAGCGUUACGCGGAAUCACUGGGCGUAAUGCGCGCGCAGGCGGUCUUUUAAGUUGGAUGUGAAAGCCUACGGCUCAACCGUAGAACUGCAUCCAAAACUAUUAGACUAGAGUGUGAGAGAGGAAGAUGGAAUUAGUUGUGUAGGGGUAAAAUCCGUAGAGAUAACUAGGAAUACCAAAAGCGAAGGCAAUCUUCUGGAACACUACUGACGCUGAGGCGCGAAAGCGUGGGGAGCAAACAGAAUUAGAAACCCUAGUAGUCC
Molecule: ribosomal RNA, 274 nt
Filed under: uncultured bacterium
Lineage: Bacteria
Description: partial 16S ribosomal RNA
Rfam family: Bacterial small subunit ribosomal RNA
Source: RNAcentral